UACGAAGGGGGCUAGCGUUGUUCGGAAUUACUGGGCGUAAAGGGCGCGUAGGCGGUGUGUCAAGUCAGGCGUGAAAGCCCCGGGCUCAACCUGGGAACCGCGCUUGAGACUGGCACGCUCGAGUUCGGGAGAGGAUGGUGGAAUUCCCAGUGUAGAGGUGAAAUUCGUAGAUAUUGGGAAGAACACCGAUGGCGAAGGCAGCCAUCUGGACCGACACUGACGCUGAGGCGCGAAAGCGUGGGGGAGCAAACAGGAUUAGAAACCUA
Molecule: ribosomal RNA, 266 nt
Filed under: uncultured bacterium
Lineage: Bacteria
Description: partial 16S ribosomal RNA
Rfam family: Bacterial small subunit ribosomal RNA
Source: RNAcentral